GACGAACGCUGGCGGCGUGCUUAACACAUGCAAGUCGAACGGUAAGGCCCUUCGGGGUACACGAGUGGCGAACGGGUGAGUAACACGUGGGUGAUCUGCCCUGCACUUCGGGAUAAGCCUGGGAAACUGGGUCUAAUACCGGAUAGGACCACUGCCUGCAUGGGUGGUGGUGGAAAGCUUUUGCGGUGUGGGAUGGGCCCGCGGCCUAUCAGCUUGUUGGUGGGGGGAUGGCCUACCAAGGCGACGACGGGUAGCCGGCCUGAGAGGGUGACCGGCCACACUGGGACUGAGAUACGGCCCAGACUCCUACGGGAGGCAGCAGUGGGGAAUAUUGCACAAUGGGCGCAAGCCUGAUGCAGCGACGCCGCGUGAGGGAUGACGGCCUUCGGGUUGUAAACCUCCUUCAGCACCGACGAAGCGCAAGCGACGGUAGGUGCAGAAGAAGGACCGGCCAACUACGUGCCAGCCGCCGCGGUAA
RNAcentral lists this ribosomal RNA (478 nucleotides) under uncultured bacterium. Its description in RNAcentral is "partial 16S ribosomal RNA". It matches the Rfam family "Bacterial small subunit ribosomal RNA", at positions 28 to 523 of the family's 1533-position model. The record is from RNAcentral.